GACGAACGCUGGCGGCGUGCUUAACACAUGCAAGUCGAACGGAAAGGCCCUGCUUUUGUGGGGUGCUCGAGUGGCGAACGGGUGAGUAACACGUGAGUAACCUGCCCUUGACUUUGGGAUAACUUCAGGAAACUGGGGCUAAUACCGGAUAGGAGCUCCUGCUGCAUGGUGGGGGUUGGAAAGUUUCGGCGGUUGGGGAUGGACUCGCGGCUUAUCAGCUUGUUGGUGGGGUAGUGGCUUACCAAGGCUUUGACGGGUAGCCGGCCUGGGAGGGUGACCGGCGACAUUGGGACUGCGGGAGGGCCCAGACGCCAACGGGAGGCAGCAGUGGGGAAUAUUGCACAGUGGGCGGAAGCCUGAUGCAGCAACGCCGCGUGCGGGAUGACGGCCUUCGGGUUGUAAACCGCUUUCGCCUGUGACGAAGCGGGAGUGACGGUAAUGGGUAAAGAAGCACCGGCUAACUACGUG
RNAcentral lists this ribosomal RNA (468 nucleotides) under uncultured bacterium. Its description in RNAcentral is "partial 16S ribosomal RNA". It matches the Rfam family "Bacterial small subunit ribosomal RNA", at positions 28 to 507 of the family's 1533-position model. The record is from RNAcentral.